This 274-nucleotide long non-coding RNA is filed under the name Panax ginseng (ginseng). RNAcentral describes it as "long non-coding RNA (PGIN_LNC005321)". The record is from RNAcentral. Lineage: Eukaryota; Viridiplantae; Streptophyta; Magnoliopsida; Apiales; Araliaceae.
UCGUCGUAGACGUCAAAACAAAUGGGGCAAAAGAAGCCCGGGUGGAUUUUAAGGAGGCACGCCGUGCAGAGACGGCGGUAGCUGCCGCAGUAACGAACGUUGUGGGUCUUCGCCGCCACCGCAAAUUCCGGUGGGACGCCACCGCCGCAGAUGAUGCAUUCGGAGAACUGGAUUUCGUUCAUUGGAUUUAGGGGAGUUUUAUUUGGAUGAGUGAAUGGGAUUUGAUUGAGGAAGGUUUAGGACUUACUAGGGUUCUUGGAGUUGGGAAUUUGAG